RNAcentral lists this ribosomal RNA (497 nucleotides) under uncultured bacterium. RNAcentral's name for it is "partial 16S ribosomal RNA". It matches the Rfam family "Bacterial small subunit ribosomal RNA", at positions 28 to 507 of the family's 1533-position model. The record is from RNAcentral.
GAUGAACGCUGGCGGCGUGCCUAAUACAUGCAAGUCGAGCGAACAGGCGAGGAGCUUGCUCCUCUGACGUUAGCGGCGGACGGGUGAGUAACACGUGGAUAACCUACCUAUAAGACUGGGAUAACUUCGGGAAACCGGAGCUAAUACCGGAUAAUAUAUUGAACCGCAUGGUUCAAUAGUGAAAGACGGUUUUGCUGUCACUUAUAGAUGGAUCCGCGCCGCAUUAGCUAGUUGGUAAGGUAACGGCUUACCAAGGCAACGAUGCGUAGCCGACCUGAGAGGGUGAUCGGCCACACUGGAACUGAGACACGGUCCAGACUCCUACGGGAGGCAGCAGUAGGGAAUCUUCUGCAAUGGGCGAAAGCCUGACGGAGCAACGCCGCGUGAGUGAUGAAGGUCUUCGGAUCGUAAAACUCUGUUAUUAGGGAAGAACAAAUGUGUAAGUAACUAUGCACGUCUUGACGGUACCUAAUCAGAAAGCCACGGCUAACUACGUG